This 451-nucleotide ribosomal RNA is filed under the name uncultured bacterium. Its description in RNAcentral is "partial 16S ribosomal RNA". It matches the Rfam family "Bacterial small subunit ribosomal RNA", at positions 28 to 523 of the family's 1533-position model. The record is from RNAcentral.
GACGAACGCUGGCGGCAGGCUUAACACAUGCAAGUCGAACGGGUGUAGCAAUACAUCAGUGGCAGACGGGUGAGUAACACGUGGGAACCUUCCUAGGGGUACGGAACAACUCAGGGAAACUUGAGCUAAUACCGUAUACGUCCGUGAGGAGAAAGAUUUAUCGCCCUUAGACGGGCCCGCGUCGGAUUAGCUAGUUGGUGGGGUAACGGCCUACCAAGGCGACGAUCCGUAGCUGAUCUUAGAGGAUGAUCAGCCACACUGGGACUGAGACACGGCCCAGACUCCUACGGGAGGCAGCAGUGGGGAAUCUUGGACAAUGGGCGCAAGCCUGAUCCAGCCAUGCCGCGUGAGUGAAGAAGGUCUUCGGAUUGUAAAGCUCUUUUGCCAGGGACGAUAAUGACGGUACCUGGAGAAUAAGCCCUGGCAAACUUCGUGCCAGCAGCCGCGGUAA